Molecule: unclassified non-coding RNA, 320 nt
Filed under: uncultured fungus
Lineage: Eukaryota; Fungi
Description: partial contains small subunit ribosomal RNA, internal transcribed spacer 1, and 5.8S ribosomal RNA
Rfam family: Eukaryotic small subunit ribosomal RNA (bases 1-73)
Source: RNAcentral
GCAAACUUGGUCAUUUAGAGGAAGUAAAAGUCGUAACAAGGUUUCCGUAGGUGAACCUGCGGAAGGAUCAUUACCGAGUUAGGGUUGCCCCACAGGGUGCCCGACCUCCCAACCCUAUGUCUAUGUUACCUUCAGUUGCUUCGGUGGGCCGGUCGACCUUCGACCGCCGGUCCCAUGGACUGGAGAGCUCGCCUGCCGAUGGCCUCUACACAAACUCUUUGUACCAAAAGCCUGUCGUCUGAAUAUAACUUGAUGUUAAAUCAAAAAACAAAACUUUCAACAACGGAUCUCUUGGUUCUGGCAUCGAUGAAGAACGCAGC